GACAGAGGGUGCAAACGUUGUUCGGAAUUACUGGGCGUAAAGCGCGUGUAGGCGGCGUAGCAAGUCGGGCGUGAAAGCCCACGGCUCAACCGUGGAAGAGCACUCGAAACUGCUGCGCUAGAGUUCUGGAGAGGAAGGCGGAAUGCUUGGUGUAGAGGUGAAAUUCGUAGAUAUCAAGAGGAACACCUGCGGCGAAGGCGGGUUGCUGGGCCGACACUGACGCUGAGGCGCGAAAGCUAGGGGAGCGAACGGG
RNAcentral lists this ribosomal RNA (253 nucleotides) under uncultured bacterium. Its description in RNAcentral is "partial 16S ribosomal RNA". It matches the Rfam family "Bacterial small subunit ribosomal RNA", at positions 524 to 776 of the family's 1533-position model. The record is from RNAcentral.